UUAUUAAAAUUUUUUAAGUUUAGAACUUGAAUAAUAUUAUUAUAUAUAAU
Molecule: transfer RNA, 50 nt
Filed under: Parasaissetia nigra
Lineage: Eukaryota; Metazoa; Arthropoda; Insecta; Hemiptera; Coccidae
Description: tRNA-Leu
Source: RNAcentral